This 207-nucleotide unclassified non-coding RNA is filed under the name soil metagenome. RNAcentral's name for it is "partial contains 5.8S ribosomal RNA, internal transcribed spacer 2, and large subunit ribosomal RNA". The record is from RNAcentral.
AACCAUAGAAACCUGCGGAGUACCUGCGGAGGGAUCAUUACCGAGUUUACAACUCCCAAACCCCUGUGAACAUACCUAUACGUUGCCUCGGCGGAUCAGCCCGCGCCCUGUAAAACGGGACGGCCCGCCCGAGGACCCUAAACUCUGUUUUUAGUGGAACUUCUGAGUAAAACAAACAAAUAAAUCAAAACUUUCAGCAACGGAUCU